This 447-nucleotide long non-coding RNA is filed under the name Solanum lycopersicum (tomato). RNAcentral describes it as "long non-coding RNA (SLYC_LNC000740)". Lineage: Eukaryota; Viridiplantae; Streptophyta; Magnoliopsida; Solanales; Solanaceae. The record is from RNAcentral.
CGCCUAUAAAACCUAGUGGUGGUGGAGGUGCCGGUCCUUUUCCCUUUGGCAUGGGUGGAGGUGGUGCUGGCACUGCUCCAUUUGAAGGCAUCGGUGGCGGUUGAGGUGCCAUACCCUUUGAUCCGAUGGGAGGUGGUGGUGGAGGUGGAGGUGAUAUUACAUUUCUGGAUGUCAUGGGAGGCGGCAGUGGUGGAGGUGGAAGUGUUAUUACAUGUGUUGUUAUCUUAGGUGGCGAUGGAGGUGGUGGGGGCGUAGGUGCUAUUACAUUUCCGGAUGUCAAGGGAGGUGGAGGUGGUGGAGGUGGAAGUGUUUUUGUUGUGGUAUUAGGUGGCAAUGGAGGUGGUGGAGGCGGAGACGGAGAUGUAACUAUGUUUCUUAAUGUCAAAGAUGGCGACUUUAUGACAUUUGAAGAUAAUGUGAAUGGUGCUAGUGUAGCUGCGGCUUGUU